This 301-nucleotide ribosomal RNA is filed under the name uncultured bacterium. Its description in RNAcentral is "partial 16S ribosomal RNA". It matches the Rfam family "Bacterial small subunit ribosomal RNA", at positions 509 to 809 of the family's 1533-position model. The record is from RNAcentral.
CAGCCGCCACGGUAAAACGGAGGGGGCUAGCGUUGUUCGGAAUUACUGGGCGUAAAGCGUACGUAGGCGGCUUUGUAAGUUAGAGGUGAAAGCCUGGUGCUCAACACCAGAACUGCCUUUAAGACUGCAUCGCUUGAACGUCGGAGAGGUGAGUGGAAUUCCGAGUGUAGAGGUGAAAUUCGUAGAUAUUCGGAAGAACACCAGUGGCGAAGGCGGCUCACUGGACGACUGUUGACGCUGAGGUACGAAAGCGUGGGGAGCAAACAGGAUUAGAUACCCCCGUAGUCCCUGUCUCUUAUAA